UGAGGAAUAUUGGUCAAUGGCCGAGAGGCUGAACCAGCCAAGUCGCGUGAAGGAAGAAGGAUCUAUGGUUUGUAAACUUCUUUUAUAGGGGAAUAAAGUGGAGGACGUGUCCUUUUUUGUAUGUACCCUAUGAAUAAGCAUCGGCUAACUCCGUGCCAGCAGCCGCGGUAAUACGGAGGAUGCGAGCGUUAUCCGGAUUUAUUGGGUUUAAAGGGUGCGUAGGUGGUGAUUUAAGUCAGCGGUGAAAGUUUGUGGCUCAACCAUAAAAUUGCCGUUGAAACUGGGUUACUUGAGUGUGUUUGAGGUAGGCGGAAUGCGUGGUGUAGCGGUGAAAUGCAUAGAUAUCACGCAGAACUCCGAUUGCGAAGGCAGCUUACUAAACCAUAACUGACACUGAAGCACGAAAGCGUGGGGAUCAAACAGGAUUAGAUACCCUGGUAGUCCACGCAGUAAACGAUGAUUACUAGGAGUUUGCGAUACAAUGUAAGCUCUACAGCGAAAGCGUUAAGUAAUCCACCUGGGGAGUACGCCGGCAACGGUGAAACUCAAAGGAAUUGACGGGGGCCCGCACAAGCGGAGGAACAUGUGGUUUAAUUCGAUGAUACGCGAGGAACCUUACCCGGGUUUGAACGUAGUCUGACCGGAGUGGAAACACUUUUUCUAGCAAUAGCAGAUUACGAGGUGCUGCAUGGUUGUCGUCAGCUCGUGCCGUGAGGUGUCGGCUUAAGUGCCAUAACGAGCGCAACCCUUAUCACUAGUUACUAACAGGUGAAGCUGAGGACUCUGGUGAGACUGCCAGCGUAAGCUGUGAGGAAGGUGGGGAUGACGUCAAAUCAGCACGGCCCUUACAUCCGGGGCGACACACGUGCUACAAUGGCAUGGACAAAGGGCAGCUACCUGGCGACAGGAUGCUAAUCUCCAAACCAUGUCUCAGUUCGGAUCGGAGUCUGCAACUCGACUCCGUGAAGCUGGAUUCGCUAGUAAUCGCGCAUCAGCCAUGGCGCGGUGAAUACGUUCCC
This 1019-nucleotide ribosomal RNA is filed under the name uncultured bacterium. RNAcentral describes it as "bacterial SSU rRNA". It matches the Rfam family "Bacterial small subunit ribosomal RNA", at positions 355 to 1375 of the family's 1533-position model. The record is from RNAcentral.